AUGAGGAGUAAGAGACAGAGGACUGCAAAGUCUUUUGGUGAUGAUUUCAUUGUGUACCUCGUGGAUGACACACCCAGGACUAUUUCAGAAGCCUAUGCAUCUCCUGAUGCUGACUACUGGAAGGAAGCUGUACGUAGUGAGAUGGAUUCCAUCUUAGCUAACGGUACCUCGGAGAUCACUGACCGUCCUUGUGGGUGCAAACCUGUAGGAUGUAAGUGGGUGUUUAAGAAGAAGCUUAGACCUGAUGGUACGAUUGAAAAGUACAAGGCACGGCUUGUGGCCAAGGGUUAUACCCAGAAAGAAGGUGAAGACUUCUUUGAUACUUACUCACCCGUGGCUAGACUGACCACAAUUCGAGUGCUACUAUCAUUGGCUGCCUCACAUGGUCUUCUCGUUCAUCAAAUGGACGUUAAGACGGCUUUCCUCAAUGGAGAGUUGAAGGAGGAAAUUUACAUGGAUCAGCCAGAUGGUUUUGUAGUACCUGGUCAAGAAGGAAAGGUGUGCAAGUUAUUAAAGUCUUUAUAUGGCCUUAAACAAGCUCCUAAGGAGUGGCAUGAGAAGUUCGAAAGAACAUUAACUGCUGCCGGCUUUGUAGUAAACGAUGGUGACAAGUGCGUGUACUAUCGCUAUGGUGGGGGCGAAGGAGUUAUUCUUUGUCUUUAUGUCGACGACAUAUUGAUCUUUGGAACCAAACUUGAUUUAAUCAAGGAGGUUAAGGAUUUCUUAUCUCGCUGUUUUGAGAUGAAGGAUCUAGGAGUAGCUGAUGUUAUCUUAAACAUCAAGCUGUUGAGAGAUGAGAAUGGUGGGAUCACACUGCUUCAGUCUCAUUAUGUGGAAAAGGUCUUGAGUCGUUUUGGGUAUAGCGACUGCACGCCUUCUCCAACUCCAUAUGAUGCUAGUGUGUUGCUUCGAAAGAAUCGACGGAUUGCUAGAGAUCAACUGACAUCUCUUUUGCUGUGA
This 960-nucleotide ribosomal RNA is filed under the name Triticum aestivum (bread wheat). Its description in RNAcentral is "partial small subunit ribosomal RNA". The record is from RNAcentral. Lineage: Eukaryota; Viridiplantae; Streptophyta; Magnoliopsida; Poales; Poaceae.